UUAAACGAAGAGGUAUCGUAAUUGAAGAGGUUUGGAAAGACCCACCACAGAAGGUAAUAGUCCUGUAUGUCAAACGAGAAAACUUCAGAUAUGAUCCAGAGUACCACGGGACACGUGAAACCCUGUGGGAAGCAGGAGGGACCACCCUCCAAGGCUAAAUACUACCUAGUGACCGAUAGCGUAUAGUACCGUGAGGGAAAGGUGAAAAGAACCCCGGGAGGGGAGUGAAAUAGAACCUGAAACCCUGCACUUACAAGCUGUGGAAGCACAUUUCUUGUGUGACCGCGUACUUUUUGUAGAACGGGCCAACGAGUUACGUUAAGUAGCAAGGUUAAGCACUUAAGGUGUGGAGCCGUAGCGAAAGCGAGUUUUAACUGAGCGUUCAGUUACUUGACGUAGACCCGAAACCGGGCGACCUACCCAUGAGCAGGAUGAAGCGAAAGUAAAAUUUCGUGGAGGUCCGAACCCACGAGCGUUGAAAAGCUCGGGGAUGACUUGUGGGU
This 503-nucleotide ribosomal RNA is filed under the name Clostridioides sp. ZZV14-5902. Its description in RNAcentral is "partial 23S ribosomal RNA". It matches the Rfam family "Bacterial large subunit ribosomal RNA", at positions 312 to 816 of the family's 2925-position model. The record is from RNAcentral. Lineage: Bacteria; Bacillati; Bacillota; Clostridia; Peptostreptococcales; Peptostreptococcaceae.